Oncorhynchus tshawytscha (Chinook salmon) is the source of this 3573-nucleotide long non-coding RNA. NCBI's taxonomy places the organism in Eukaryota, Metazoa, Chordata, Actinopteri, Salmoniformes, Salmonidae. The record is from Ensembl.
GGGAGACAAGCACAGAGGACUGGAGUAUCACUGGCUGAAGCAGGUUGAAUUCUUGAUGAAGAAAUCACUGGCAAAGCAUAUGACACUACUAGAUGGGAAAACUGAUAAUCAAAACAAAAUGAUGAAAUUAAUCUCACAAAAUGGAUUCAGGAGGACUCCUGAGUCACAGUACAGGAAGUACAGGAAGUCUAUCAGAUACAAAUGGAGGAAGACAUCCGAGCAGCACUCUCUUCUCAGAGACACAUUUGGAAAUGCUAAGCUAGCACACACAAUAAAGGCACACGCGCACACACCCAAACGCACAAACACACACAAUAUCAGCCGAGAGAGCAGUGAAGGGAGAGUAAUAAAUGGAGAGUAGUAAAGACAGAGUAGUAAAGAGAGAGUAGUAAAGAGAGAGUAGUAAAGGGAGAGUAGUAAAGAGAGAGUAGUAAAAGGAGAGUAGUAAAGAGCGAGUAGUAAAAGGAGAGUAGUAAACAGAGAGUAGUAAAGAGAGAGUAGUAAAGACAGAGUAGUAAACGGAGAGUAGUAAAGAGAGAGUAGUAAAAGGAGAGUAGUAAAGAGAGAGUAGUAAAAGGAGAGUAGUAAAGAGAGAGUAGUAAAGACAGAGUAGUAAAAGGAGAGUAGUAAAGGGAGAGUAGUAAAAGGAGAGUAGUGAAGAUAGAGUAGUAAAGAGAGAGUAGUGAAGAUAGAGUAGUAAAGAGAGAGUAGUAAAGAGAGAGUAGUAAAGGGAGAGUUGUAAAGAGAGUAUAGUAAAGGGAGAGUAGUGAAGAGAGAGUAGUAAAAGGAGAGUAGUAAAGGGAGAGUAGUAGAGAGAGAGUAGUAAAGAGAGAGUAGUAAAGGGAGAGUAGUGAAGAGAGAGUAGUAAAAGGAGAGUAGUAAAGAGAGAGUAGUAAACGGAGAGUAGUAAAGAGAGAGUAGUAAAGAGAGAGUAGUAAAAGGAGAGUAGUAAAGAGAGAGUAGUAAAGAGAGAGUAGUAAAGAGAGAGUAGUAAAGGGAGAGUAGUAAAGAGAGUAGUAAAGGGAGAGUUGUAAAGAGAGAGUAGUAAAAGGAGAGUAGUAAAGAGAGAGUAGUGAAGAUAGAGUAGUGAAUAUAGAGUUGUGAAGAUAGAGUAGUAAAAGGAGAGUAGUAAAGGGAGAGUAGUAAAGAGAGAGUAGUGAAGAUAGAGUAGUAAAAGGAGAGUAGUAAAAGGAGAUCAGUAAAGAGAGAGUAGUAAAGAGAGACUUAGUAAAGAGAGAGUAGUAAAGAGAGAGUAGUAAAGGGAGAGUAGUAAAGAGAGAGUAGUAAAGGGAGAGUAGUAAAGAGAGAGUUGUAAAGGGAGAGUUAUAAAGAGAGAGUAGUAAAGAGAGAGUAGUAAAGGGAGAGUAGUGAAGCGAGAGUAGUGAAGAUAGAGCAGUAGAAGGAGAGUAGUAAAGAGAGAGUAGUAAAGGGAGAGUUGUAACGAGAGAGUAGUAAAGGGAGAGUAGUAAAGAGAGAGUAGUAAAUGGAGAGUAGUAAAGAGAGAGUAGUGAAGAGAGAGUAGUGAAGAUAGAGUAGUGAAUAUAGAGUAGUGAAGAUAGAGUAGUAAAAGGAGAGUAGUAAAGGGAGAGUAGUAAAGAGAGAGUAGUAAAGAGAGAGUAGUAAAGGGAGAGUAGUAAAGAGAGAGUAGUAAAGGGAGAGUAGUGAAGCGAGAGUAGUGAAGAGAGAGUAGUGAAGAUAGAGUAGUAAAAGGAGAGUAGUAAAGGGAGAGUAGUAAAGAGAGAGUAGUAAAAUGAGAGUAGUAGAGAGAGUAGUCAAGAGAGAGUAGUAAAGGGAGAGUAGUAAAGGGAGAGUAGUAAAGAGAGAGUAGUGAAGAGAGAGUAGUAAAGGGAGAGUAGUAAAGGGAGAGUAGUAAAGAGAGAGUAGUAAAGAGAAAGGGAGAGUAAAGGGAGAGUAGUGAAGAAAGAAAGAAAGAUAGAAGGAAAGAAAGACAGAAAAAUAGAAGGAAAGAGAGAAUGAAAGCAAUAGUUCAUGUGGGAACGAGGAAUGAGCCAAAUCUAAGACAAUCCACUCAUUCUUAUGGUGUGAAGCCUUAACAGACAGGAAGCAGCAAUGAACCAUGGGAGAUCUAGAGCAGCACUGGAAUGACCGUAGUAGAGGAUAUGUGAAAGACAAGUUCAGAUACAGUAUCUGUGUCACUCUGGUCUAAUACAGGAAAGACAGAGUGAAAACAUGUUUCCUUCUGAAACUGACUAUACAGAUCCCUCAGAGGCACUAGCUAGGUUUCCAUCCAAUCGGCCACAGAUUUUCACAAGAACAUUCUAAUAUCUACAUAAAAAUAAUAGGAGCAUUUUCCUACUGUUUCCUACUGUUUCCUACUGUUUCAUUCAACUGUACUUGUUGUGGCUGUGUGUGAUGACAUAGUGAACAUAAUUAAUUAAUUACUUUUUUUAGGGGGUAGAUCAGCUUUAAUAGUGCAGAUAGAUUUUAGUUUCCAUCAAUGUAAUUGUCUGCAUCAUUUCCAAACCCCCAUAUAUUUUUUUUUUGUACAUUUAAACAGCACCAGUCAAACGUUUGGACACACCUACUCAUUCAAGGGUUUUUCUUUAUUUUUACUGUUUUCUACAUUGUAGAAUAAUAGUGAAGACUAUGAACACUAUGAAAUAACACAUGUGAAAACAUGUAGUCACCAAAAGUGCUUGAGAUUCUUCAUAGUAGCUACCCCAUUGCCUUGAUGACAGCUUUGCACACUCUUGGCAUUCUCUCAACCAGCUUUAUGAGGUGUGCCCCGUUAAAAGUUAAUGAAAGAGGAUGAGGGUGAAGAUUCCGAGAGUGUGGUCAAAUAAUUCCUGGUUAAACAAGUUAAACAAUUUAAAGGCAAUGCUACCAAAUACUAAUUGAGUCUAUGUAAACUUCUGACCCACUGGGAAUGUGAUGAAUGAUAUUAAGCUGAAAUAAAUCACUCUCCUUACUAUUAUUCUGGGGCGGCAGGGUAGCCUAGUGGUUAAGGUGUUGGACUAGUGACUGGAAGGUGACUGGAAGGUUGCAAGUUCAAACCCCUUUUAUUCUUAAAAUAAAGUGGUGAUCCUAACUGACCUAAGACAGGGAAUUGUUACUAGGAUUAAAUGUCAGGAAUUGUGAAAAACUGAGUUUAAAUGUAUUUGGCUAAGGUGAAUGUAAACUUCAACUGUAUGCACACACACACAGUAAAAAUCCUUUCCUUUAUCCAAUAGCAGAAUGAGAAGAGUACAGGAGCUGAUUCUGCCAGCAGUUUCUAUCAGCCCGUACUGCAUGGCUGACUGACCCUAAUAAUCCUGGAUGUCGAGAGGCUACAGUACUUGUGGUGUCAUUGUGCAGAGAGAUUGUGUGUGUGCGUGCGUGCGUGUCUAAACAGGGAGUGGAGUAGAACUACACAGUCAUCUCUCACUGACUGAGACAGAAAAGAGGCUAAAUUACAUCAUGGUGCAGUGUGGCUGUACUGGGAACACUAAACAGCUGAAUGACAUCAUGGUGCAGUGUGGCUGUGUUAGAAACACUAAACAGCUGAAUGACAUCAUGGUGCAGUGUGGCUGUGUUAGAAACACUAAACAGCUGAAUGACAUCAUCAAAUCAAAU